GGGGGCGAAAGGGUUCGACAGAGCCGGUUCGACUCGAAGUUGCGAGCCGAGGCGCCGCUGGCCUCGUAAAAAGCGGCAAACAAGUAGUUGCGAAUAACAAUUACGCUUACGCUGCCUAAUUAACGCAGCGCGUCCGCCUCUUCCGUGUCGGUAGGAAGAGAUCCGGGUGUAACUAAAUCCGAAUCGCUGGCCGAGCUUCUGCUCGUAGCGGAGCCAGCUAAAUCAAUCGGGCUGGGUGUUCGACUAGCCUGCCCCGUGGCAGGUCGGCACUAAGAUUUAAAGCGGGGAGACGCUCGUGGUAAUCUCGAGGCCGACGGUUUUGGAAGCGAGUUCAAUUCUCGCCGCCUCCACCA
Molecule: transfer-messenger RNA, 353 nt
Filed under: Fimbriimonadaceae
Lineage: Bacteria; Bacillati; Armatimonadota; Fimbriimonadia; Fimbriimonadales
Also listed under: 1 other name
Description: UBA6659 sp019694835 Standard tmRNA
Rfam family: transfer-messenger RNA
About the family: Bacterial tmRNA, also known as 10Sa RNA or SsrA, is named for its dual tRNA and mRNA-like properties. Its role is to liberate the mRNA from a stalled ribosome.
Source: RNAcentral